This 580-nucleotide ribosomal RNA is filed under the name Papiliotrema rajasthanensis. RNAcentral's name for it is "partial large subunit ribosomal RNA". It matches the Rfam family "Eukaryotic large subunit ribosomal RNA", at positions 100 to 669 of the family's 3401-position model. Lineage: Eukaryota; Fungi; Basidiomycota; Tremellomycetes; Tremellales; Rhynchogastremaceae. The record is from RNAcentral.
GGGAAGAGCUCAGAUUUGAAAUCUGGCGUCCUCAGGGCGUCCGAGUUGUAAUCUAUAGAGGCGUUUUCCGUGCCGGACCGUGUCCAAGUUCCUUGGAACAGGAUAUCAAAGAGGGUGACAAUCCCGUACUUGACACGAUGACCGGUGCUCUGUGAUACGUCUUCUACGAGUCGAGUUGUUUGGGAAUGCAGCUCAAAAUGGGUGGUGAGUUCCAUCUAAAGCUAAAUAUUGGCGAGAGACCGAUAGCGAACAAGUACCGUGAGGGAAAGAUGAAAAGCACUUUGGAAAGAGAGUUAAACAGUACGUGAAAUUGUUGAAAGGGAAACGAUUGAAGUCAGUCGUGACUGAGAGGCUCAGCCGGUUCUGCCGGUGUAUUCCCCUCAGUCGGGUCAACAUCAGUUUUGUCCGGUGGAAAAGGGCGGUAGGAACGUGGCACCUCCGGGUGUGUUAUAGCCUGCCGUCGCAUACAUCGGGUGAGACUGAGGAAUGCAGCUCGCCUUUAUGGCCGGGGUUCGCCCACGUCCGAGCUUAGGAUGUUGACAUAAUGGCUUUAAACGACCCGUCUUGAAACACGGACCAA